CCGCUGCAGCAGCCGUAACGGAACCAAGGGGUUAGCGCAGACUACGCUCCUGUGUAGCUUCCGCCGGCUUCAACACCGCCAACGAGGUCACGCCGCUCUUUGUUGCUGGCGGAAAAGGAGGACGUAGAAGAGAAACGUGCGUCAGUCCAUAUACAUUUCAACGAUGGUUGCUGAAACCAUACGCUGUGUCCAUGAUACAUACCACAACACUUUCAUCAUUAUUACAGUGGUUGCUGUUAAGCUGUUCAUCAAAGGAAUUACUCUCUUGCUCGUGGAAAGUGGGCUGUUGGCUCAUACAACAAGAACUGAUAAACUAGAUAAAUCUUCUGAAGUUCCAAAAAUCUCCGGCCAUCAUUUUGGCCGCCUGUGGAGAUUAUGGAAUCAUAGAGCCUUGUUUUAUGGAGAUCCCACCACCAAGUUGGCAGUGCGUGGGAACCAUGGGGACUGGUGACAAAUAAGCCGAUUUUGUGUUAUUUGAACAGGUACGACACAUAAUAGUUCCGAGACUUGGGAUGUCAGUAAUCAUGAGAUUCAUAUCUACCCGAAGAAACUGAAUACAAGCGUCGCGCAGCCACAUCCACAACCACCUCCAUCAUCCUCCUAAGUUUCAGGUAACUAAAGGAAAUGGAUGACUGCACCGGAGAGAUGCGACCUGUGUCACCUUGUACUUUGGCAAUGAUCUUUGUCAAAGUUCUUCUCUUUGCAAUGAGUCGUACGAUGUAAAAGACCAUUUCACGGAUGGCACAUUCUACUGGUGAUCCUCUGUCCUCUGCCGACGAUGAACAAAAGCGCCAAAGUAGCUGGUCUUUAUGCUUUGUUAUUUCAGUUAUCUGCUUAUCUGAGCAGAAGGGCAGCAACACGACGUGGCAUGGAUUCGACUAACGUCUAGUGCCGGAGGGAACUUACACCGUGAAUCCUGCAGGGCUGUCCAUUAAUCCGUAAGAGUACGAAGGGGUGGAUACCUCUUCUGAACAGCACGUUGAAAGAAAAGGCCACAGUUAAUAGAUUUCCGCGGUAAACAUAUUAGGUUUUGGGCUUUGAAAUACAUUGGUAGUCAUGUAAUUCAUCAUUACUUUCUUAAUUUUUGCUAAUCUUCACGUAUUUACUUACAGGCUGAAGCUCUCGGUUCGUAAUCUCAAGAUCUUUCAUGUGUCCGGCUCCAGUAGACACUGAAAAUACCUGUAAAUAACAGAAAGAAAAAGAUUGCUUCUACAGUCGAUUUCUAGGGGCUGGGGAACAACGCUGGAGCAUCUGAUUUUCUGUCUUCUUCUCUUUCUUCUUCUCCUUCUUCUUUUCCUUUAGCGUUUCCCAUUUCUCCAUGGUGACGACAUUCUUAUACGGGUUGAAGCAGUAUUAGUGACCGAGGCCGCAUGCCCUUCGUGACGCGACCUGGAGCAUCUGAUAAUGGUGAAAAAUUAUAGGUACAUGCGUCAUUGAUUUAUAUCAGCAAUAGUGCCAAUGAUUUAGGUGAACAUUUCACUGACGUUGUCUAAUUUUGUCAUUGUACUGAGACUCGAAAUGCAAUGAACGGUGAGAAGAUAAGAAUCACGAUAGAAUACCCCAAAAACACAGUCUACUGCUCACUCUCUAUAAAAUAAUGGAACCAAGUAAGAGACUAAAAGUACUUGAAAGUCAGUGGAACAUAAUCUGCUGAUUAGGAAGAAGUAUUCCCAACGUUCCCAUUCAGUGACUAAAUCUUAUUUGUCACUACAAUCAGUAGAAGCUAACUACAGUAGUAAAACCGACAUCUUACCUUUCAGAAGGCACGCUUGCUUUAGCAGACGCCACAUUCUACUUAUCUGUUUCAUUGAAUAGUCAUUACCUAUAUUUGCAAUCAAUUAAUUAUAUAUAUUAAGACUUGCUUCUUCUUUCACUGGAGCGCUUAGCACCAGUUGCAGUGUACGUUUUAUUGACAGAAAGUGCAGAACACGAGAAUAUCUAUGACACCCGAGAAUCAUCUGCAAAUCGAUGUUCUUCUCACCGCACUCUGUACAAAGACUUUGUGCAGUUAAGUGCAAAACUAUAGGAGCUAAUGUCUGCUGGGACACAGCUCUGAGUGUCAAUGAUUUUGUCUGCAUCUGAAUCGUUUUUUUAUGUGCGUCAUGUAGCUCUUCGGGUAGAUAUGGAUCUCAUGCGUGUUGUCAUUACAAAUCUCGAAACUAUUAUGUAUCGUACCUGUUCAGUUAACAUAAAAUCGGUGACCGUAAAAGUUAACAGGCAGCACGCAGCCUUCCGGGCGUAUGUGAAGCGUCUCGGACGGGGCGUAAUUUUGUGAUGGAAGGAUUAUUAUCUAGAAGACAGUCAGACGUCCUCUGAGAGACUUACAGAAGGCAGCAGUCGCUUUACUAUCGACGUUGAGGUGACUAGAUACCGAGAACAAGCUCCAUUGGACAAAGAGGGGACAGAGAAUGGGUGGUAGUAUUUUUAAGGAAUCAAUAUGACACCCGUUUAUAGUAAUUAUGAGGAAAAUGUCAACUCGCAAAAUGAGGAUUACUAUACGGGAAUCAGUGUUCAGAGAAUAGAUUUCUAAUAAAAUAUAGUUACGAGAAAAUUUCCUCCAAGGAGGAAAUAUCUCUAACUUUCUUGCUUUAGCAACGCUGAGAAAAAGUCAGUGAUUUGCUCCAUUUAGAUUUAUAAUUACAAUACUCUAAGUGCUAUUACAUUUCUAACAUUUACCUUUAGUGUCAACGACUUUUGUACGUCUAUAUGUUCGAAAAAUAAAGUUGUGUACCAGUAUUGUCUGUAAA
Long non-coding RNA from Schistocerca serialis cubense, 2747 nucleotides. RefSeq lists it as uncharacterized. Lineage: Eukaryota; Metazoa; Arthropoda; Insecta; Orthoptera; Acrididae. The record is from RefSeq and is a predicted model, not a curated record. The transcript has 5 exons.